Long non-coding RNA from Homo sapiens (human), 637 nucleotides. Ensembl annotates it as TP53 target 1. Its record names the gene TP53TG1. The record is from Ensembl. Lineage: Eukaryota; Metazoa; Chordata; Mammalia; Primates; Hominidae.
GACCCUGUCUCCAGUGGGCGUCUUGGGCCCCGGCUCUAUUCUGGGCUGCGGGCCUGGGAAGGGCUCGCCGGGUGCCAAAUGAGCUGUCCUAACUCUGCGGGGCUGCAGCUUCCUGCAUGAUGCUGGGGAGCUUGGCGCCUGACCCAGGAUCUAGAAGGCACUCUGGGCAGGCCGCGCUCCGCCCACGAAGGUUUAACCACCAAGGACUCUGAGAGCUGGCAGGUCUGAGUAACCCUGGUAACAAUUCUCUUCACCUUAUCAAAACCUGAGCUAAAACCAAUGCAUCAGCUGAUGAUGACAGCAGAGAGUGGCAGGGCUGAGGACCCAAAGUCAUUUCCCAGGCUGGCGGAGAGUUUUUUUCUCAGUCAACUGAAUUCUUUUUCUCCACUUUGUUUUGCCACUCUUAAUGCAUGCAUGAGAGGCCCUAAGAUAAUUUCUGAUGGCCUGGGACUCCUUGGGAAAAAAAUGAAAAGGCACCACAGGUUCCAUUUUGGGAGAAACCUCCAUUUUCCUCAUGAAACCGCAGGAAUUAGAGGCAGAUAAACUGCCAGGGAGAAGAAUGAGAAGACAGGAGACAAACUGUUUGGAAAGCUAAAUCUUCCCUCUUAAUGAAUAAAGGUUUUUGCCUUGUCUUAAA